This 253-nucleotide ribosomal RNA is filed under the name uncultured bacterium. RNAcentral's name for it is "partial 16S ribosomal RNA". It matches the Rfam family "Bacterial small subunit ribosomal RNA", at positions 524 to 776 of the family's 1533-position model. The record is from RNAcentral.
UACGUCGGGGGCAAGCGUUGUCCGGAAUCAUUGGGCGUAAAGCGCGUGUAGGCGGUCCGGUAAGUCGGUUGUGAAAGUCCAGGGCUCAACCCUGGGAUGCCGAUCGAUACUGCCGGACUAGAGUCCGGAAGAGGCGAGUGGAAUUCCCGGUGUAGCGGUGAAAUGCGCAGAUAUCAGGAGGAACACCGGUGGCGAAGGCGGAUCUCUGGGCCUUACCUGACGCUCAGGCGCGAAAGCUAGGGGAGCGAACAGG